GCAAGUCGAACGGUAACAGGCCGCAAGGUGCUGACGAGUGGCGAACGGGUGAGUAAUGCAUCGGAACGUGCCCAGUCGUGGGGGAUAACGCAGCGAAAGCUGCGCUAAUACCGCAUACGAUCUAUGGAUGAAAGCGGGGGACCGUAAGGCCUCGCGCGAUUGGAGCGGCCGAUGUCAGAUUAGGUAGUUGGUGGGGUAAAGGCUCACCAAGCCAACGAUCUGUAGCUGGUCUGAGAGGACGACCAGCCACACUGGAACUGAGACACGGUCCAGACUCCUACGGGAGGCAGCAGUGGGGAAUUUUGGACAAUGGGCGCAAGCCUGAUCCAGCAAUGCCGCGUGCAGGAAGAAGGCCUUCGGGUUGUAAACUGCUUUUGUACGGAACGAAACGGUCUGAGUUAAUACCUCGGGCUAAUGACGGUACCGUAAGAAUAAGCACCGGCUAACUACGUGCCAGCAGCCGCGGUAAUACGUAGGGUGCAAGCGUUAAUCGGAAUUACUGGGCGUAAAGCGUGCGCAGGCGGUGAUGUAAGACAGUCGUGAAAUCCCCGGGCUCAACCUGGGAAUUGCGAUUGUGACUGCAUCGCUGGAGUGCGGCAGAGGGGGAUGGAAUUCCGCGUGUAGCAGUGAAAUGCGUAGAUAUGCGGAGGAACACCGAUGGCGAAGGCAAUCCCCUGGGCCUGCACUGACGCUCAUGCACGAAAGCGUGGGGAGCAAACAGGAUUAGAUACCCUGGUAGUCCACGCCCUAAACGAUGUCAACUGGUUGUUGGGUCUCUUCUGACUCAGUAACGAAGCUAACGCGUGAAGUUGACCGCCUGGGGAGUACGGCCGCAAGGUGGAAACUCAAAGGAAUUGACGGGGACCCGCACAAGCGGUGGAUGAUGUGGUUUAAUUCGA
RNAcentral lists this ribosomal RNA (899 nucleotides) under uncultured Comamonadaceae bacterium. RNAcentral's name for it is "bacterial SSU rRNA". It matches the Rfam family "Bacterial small subunit ribosomal RNA", at positions 57 to 954 of the family's 1533-position model. Lineage: Bacteria; Pseudomonadati; Pseudomonadota; Betaproteobacteria; Burkholderiales; Comamonadaceae. The record is from RNAcentral.